UUUUACUUAGUAGAAUCGAGCAAUUUGUUCAUCCAGGACUGGAGCUUGAAGAAAGGCUACUAGGAUGUCUUUGUAUCUAUUAUUAUACUUCCGGAAGAGGGAUGAAAAAGCUAGUCAACUUUUCAGAAGGAGUUAGAGAGUCACUAAGACGCCUUUCCAACAUGAGUUGGAUGGCAGAAGAAUUACUUAAGGUUGCUGACUAUAUCCAGCCAAACAAAUGGAGAAUAUCUUGUGUUCACACACAAAUUCUCGAAAUGAGUAGUAACCAUAGUGGAGCAGUAACAUCGCUCACCUACUAUAAUGGAGAGCUUUACAGUGGACAUGCAGAUGGUUCAAUCAAGGCAUGGGACAUUAAAGGACAAGAA
RNAcentral lists this unclassified non-coding RNA (365 nucleotides) under Hevea brasiliensis (rubber tree). Lineage: Eukaryota; Viridiplantae; Streptophyta; Magnoliopsida; Malpighiales; Euphorbiaceae. The record is from RNAcentral.